Molecule: long non-coding RNA, 2166 nt
Organism: Brassica napus (rape)
Lineage: Eukaryota; Viridiplantae; Streptophyta; Magnoliopsida; Brassicales; Brassicaceae
Exons: 4
Source: RefSeq, a predicted model, not a curated record
AAAUGGAGUUUAAUUAAUGAAAUAAAAACAUUUUCAAAUGGGUACUUCUCUUUUAAUAAUAUAGAUUGGAAAAGUAACCUUAAAAUAUAUAUCUCUAGUAAUCAUACUAACAAAGCUUAUUAGAAUAAUUGAUUUGGGCUAUUUGGUUAUGAUAUUAAAAUUAGUAUCAUUUGUAACCCAAAAAAUAAUGGACCUAAAAACAAAUCAAAUUAAUAGCUAGUAAGGAAAGGGUUGAAACAAUCGCAUAUUAAUAGCUAAAAUUUUGUUAGUUGUGAAAUUUUUGUAUGCAUCCUAGAAUAUACUCCACGAUUUUAUUUCAAAAUAGAUCCAUUUGUUAGUUGCUUAUGGAAUUGAGGUUGUUAAAUAUAAGAUUUUUUACCUGAUCUGCAAGAUUAGGAACAAAAACAAUGUUGUGGUAGUUGAUUGAUACCGAAUUUUAUGAUGAUUGCUUAAUCAUAGGAAUAUAUUAUGAAAGGUAAUUAUUUUUAGGUUAAUAAUAAAUGUUUGACGUGAUUGCAAGAUCAAUAACCACAUAAGGAUUUUGUGGUAGUUUAGUGAUAUAUAUCGUAUUUGCUUAAAUAUAGGAAUAUAUUUUCUAAGGUAACUUGUUUUGGAAAAUAAUAAAUGAAUAGUUUUGAUUUUGAAUUAAACAAUUUAUAUUGAAAAAAUUGUUUUGUGUAAGUUAGUAUUGUCGUGGAAUUACAUGAUUUCUAGUAAUACUGAUAAAAACUAUGAUCUUAAUGUAUGACAUAUAUUUGUAUCUAUCUAAUAAACUGGUUUUGAUCUGCAGACCAAAACUACUAAUCUGAUGCGAUGAACUAAGAAAGUAUGACAAUUUUUCUCGAUGGUUUAUAAUGGUAUAUACAACGGUAUGAAGGUAACCAGAAAUUGUAGUUUGAUUGUUUUGUAAUAUAAAUGUUUAGUAAUGUUUGUAAUUGAUGGUUUAGUAAUAAGACAAAAUUGUUGACAAAAAAAAAAAAAUGACAAAACGUUUGGGUUUUAUUUUAUGUAUAAAACGAUUGGUAUUAAAGUGUUAGCAUGUGGUUUAGUAAUGAUCUUUGAAAUUUUAUGGUGUAAUAAUUCACCCAACGUGUUUCUCAGUUUAGGAAAUAAGGAAAACAAUUCGAUUUAGAAAAAAAGGAAACAGUGAAUUUAAUGUCAAUAGCAUAUGUUGGUAAAUAUUGUGAAAAAGGUAGGACUAAGUACAAAAUGUACUCCUGUUUUCAUAGUUUAGAUAAAUAAAAUAAAAUAUCAAUUAUCAUAAAGACCGUCUCUUAUUGGGGUACACAAGAGACGGUCUCUUUUCCUUCCUUUCCCCUGUAGCUUCUUCUUCUCCAUCUCACUUCUCUCAUGCUUCCUUCAAAAUGGAGUCACUCCUCCACGCGUCUUCGUCUGUAAGAAGAAGAAAAGCAAGAAAGACGACAGCCACAGCUUCUCCUCGAGACCUGACGAAGUCACAGCCCGUUUCCUGAAUCCAUUCUUUUCAAAGAGGAAGGAUGAAUGGUUCUCGUAAGCAAUCAAUCGUCUACGCUGUUCGAGUUACCAAUCGCUAAAAGAAAGCAGCGUCGCUUGCUCUGACACGACGACGGACGAAGCAAGAAGCUUAACGAUGCGGCGCAGAUUGAUCGGCCGAUGUUGAAACGUCCGUUCAAAGUGGCAGCGACGGCAAAAUUGCCGACGUUUCUGCCGAGAGAUGUUGAGAGAAUCAAAGACACGUUUGCUCUGAAUCGAGAGGCUUCCCGUAAAAGUUAGCUUCUCGGAAGAUAGAAUCAUGAGCAGUUGCGUGACGCCACUGGUGAGGAAAGAGUCAAGUCUUGUGGUGCUUCUUCACGGAUUUGAUAGUUUUUCAAGUAUUGGUAUUUGAGGGAAGCUGCUAGGAUGGGUGUGAAACAGGCUCUAAGGAGCAUCGAUGCGUUCCCAAGAGCAGAGUGAAAGUCUAAAGUCUCACAAGUACCAUACUGGGAGUGAUUGUGAAGUGCUUGUCCAUUUUGUGAGUACCAUUUCUUGCUUCCGUAGAUAGAUAGAUGUUGUGUGUGUUUGUUUCGUGUUGUGACAUAUACAUAACCUUCAAAAGCUAAAUAUAUGUAAUGAUGUCUACAAACAAAGUUAUAAUAUAUAUAUAUAUAUAUAUAUAUAUAAUGAUGAUUCCGUCUCCUUUUAUGUAUA